GGGACCGUGGUGUAGGGGUAAGCGUGGUUGCCUCUCACCCAGUCGGAUUGGGUUCGAUUCCAAGCGGUCCCG
Molecule: transfer RNA, 72 nt
Filed under: Culex quinquefasciatus (southern house mosquito)
Lineage: Eukaryota; Metazoa; Arthropoda; Insecta; Diptera; Culicidae
Rfam family: tRNA
About the family: Transfer RNA (tRNA) molecules are approximately 80 nucleotides in length. Their secondary structure includes four short double-helical elements and three loops (D, anti-codon, and T loops).
Source: Rfam by way of RNAcentral